RNAcentral lists this ribosomal RNA (250 nucleotides) under uncultured prokaryote. Its description in RNAcentral is "partial 16S ribosomal RNA". It matches the Rfam family "Bacterial small subunit ribosomal RNA", at positions 524 to 774 of the family's 1533-position model. The record is from RNAcentral.
UACGUAGGUCACGAGCGUUAUCCGGAAUUAUUGGGCGUAAAGAGUGAGCAGGCGGCACGGUAAGUUUGGAGUGAAAGCGUUGGGCUUAACCCAAUAUAGCUUCAAAAACUGCCGAGCUAGAGUAUGUGAGAGGUAAACGGAACUCCAUGUGUAGCGGUGAAAUGCGUAGAUAUAUGGAAGAACACCAGUGGCGAAGGCGGUUUACCAGCACAAUACUGACGCUCAGUCACGAAAGCGUGGGGAGCAAAUA